RNAcentral lists this ribosomal RNA (2044 nucleotides) under Gyrinus sp. VLS-1999. RNAcentral's name for it is "SSU rRNA". It matches the Rfam family "Eukaryotic small subunit ribosomal RNA". The record is from RNAcentral. Lineage: Eukaryota; Metazoa; Arthropoda; Insecta; Coleoptera; Gyrinidae.
UUGUCUCAAAGAUUAAGCCAUGCAUGUCUCAGUACGAGCCGCAUCAAGGUGAAACCGCGAAAGGCUCAUUAAAUCAGUUAUGGUUCCUUAGAUCGUACCCACAUUUACUUGGAUAACUGUGGCAAUUCUAGAGCUAAUACAUGCAAACAGAGCUCCGACCGGAGACGGAAGGAGCGCUUUUAUUAGAUCAAAACCAAUCGGCGGCGGGCCCGUUCACGCGGCGUCCGUCCGUCGUCCUCACUGGUGACUCUGAAUAACUCUAUGCCGAUCGCACGGUCUCGCACCGGCGACGCGUCUUUCAAAUGUCUGCCUUAUCAACUGUCGAUGGUAGGUUCUGCGCCUACCAUGGUCGUAACGGGUAACGGGGAAUCAGGGUUCGAUUCCGGAGAGGGAGCCUGAGAAACGGCUACCACAUCCAAGGAAGGCAGCAGGCGCGCAAAUUACCCACUCCCGGCACGGGGAGGUAGUGACGAAAAAUAACGAUACGAGACUCAUCCGAGGCUUCGUAAUCGGAAUGAGUACACUUUAAAUCCUUUAACGAGGAUCAAUUGGAGGGCAAGUCUGGUGCCAGCAGCCGCGGUAAUUCCAGCUCCAAUAGCGUAUAUUAAAGUUGUUGCGGUUAAAAAGCUCGUAGUUGAAUCUGUGUCCCACGCUGUCGGUUCAUCGCCCGCGGUGUUCAACUGGCACGUCUCGUGGGACGUCCUGCCGGUGGGCAAGCGAGCGUCGCGUUGCCGGCGGUCGAUCAGCGACGGGCGGGUCGCGUGCGGUACAGUGCGUCGCGGCGCGCGGUCGUCUUAACCGGCGGUCCGUUGCGUCCGGCGCGCCCCGUGCGUCCUCCGUCGCCCGGCCGUUGUGCGCGCACCGCACGAUUGCCCGACUCCACAAUCCCGCCGCGGUGCUCUUCAUCGAGUGUCGAGGUGGGCCGGCACGUUUACUUUGAACAAAUUAGAGUGCUCAAAGCAGGCCAGAGUCCAGCCUGAAUACUGUGUGCAUGGAAUAAUGGAACAGGACCUCGGUUCUAUUUUGUUGGUUUUCGGAAGCCCGAGGUAAUGAUUAAUAGGGACAGAUGGGGGCAUUCGUAUUGCGACGUUAGAGGUGAAAUUCUUGGAUCGUCGCAAGACGGACGGAAGCGAAAGCAUUUGCCAAAAAUGUUUUCAUUAAUCAAGAACGAAAGUCAGAGGUUCGAAGGCGAUCAGAUACCGCCCUAGUUCUGACCAUAAACGAUGCCAGCUGGCGAUCCGCCGACGUUCCUCCGAUGACUCGGCGGGCAGCCUCCGGGAAACCAAAGCUUCUGGGUUCCGGGGGAAGUAUGGUUGCAAAGCUGAAACUUAAAGGAAUUGACGGAAGGGCACCACCAGGAGUGGAGCCUGCGGCUUAAUUUGACUCAACACGGGAAACCUCACCAGGCCCGGACACCGGAAGGAUUGACAGAUUGAGAGCUCUUUCUUGAUUCGGUGGGUGGUGGUGCAUGGCCGUUCUUAGUUGGUGGAGCGAUUUGUCUGGUUAAUUCCGAUAACGAACGAGACUCUAGCCUGCUAACUAGGCGUAACAUUUCCGGUAUCUGGAAGGCUCGCGUCGGACGUUUCGGCGUCGGUCGCGGGGUGCGCGCCCGCGUGUACCUCCGGCCGUGCGUCCGGCCGUCCGUUCGCGGUUUUUACUACCGGCGUUCAAUGAUAUCUUCUUAGAGGGACAGGCGGCUCCUAGCCGCACGAGAUUGAGCAAUAACAGGUCUGUGAUGCCCUUAGAUGUUCUGGGCCGCACGCGCGCUACACUGAAGGAAUCAGCGUGUCCUCCCUGGCCGAGCGGUCCGGGUAACCCGCUGAACCUCCUUCGUGCUAGGGAUUGGGGCUUGCAAUUGUUCCCCAUGAACGAGGAAUUCCCAGUAAGCGCGAGUCAUAAGCUCGCGUUGAUUACGUCCCUGCCCUUUGUACACACCGCCCGUCGCUACUACCGAUUGAAUGAUUUAGUGAGGUCUUCGGACCGGUACGCGGCGGCGUUCCGACGUCGCCGAUGUCGCUGGGAAGAUGACCAAACUUGAUCAUUU